UACGGAGGAUCCAAGCGUUAUCCGGAUUUAUUGGGUUUAAAGGGUGCGUAGGCGGAUUAGUAAGUCAGUGGUGAAAGCCUGCAGCUUAACUGUAGAAUUGCCAUUGAUACUGCUAGUCUUGAAUAUAGUUGAGGUAGGCGGAAUAUGACAUGUAGCGGUGAAAUGCUUAGAUAUGUCAUAGAACACCGAUUGCGAAGGCAGCUGACUACGGGAGCAUUGACACUGAGGCACGAAAGCGUGGGGAUCAAACAGG
This 253-nucleotide ribosomal RNA is filed under the name uncultured bacterium. Its description in RNAcentral is "partial 16S ribosomal RNA". It matches the Rfam family "Bacterial small subunit ribosomal RNA", at positions 524 to 776 of the family's 1533-position model. The record is from RNAcentral.